This 452-nucleotide ribosomal RNA is filed under the name uncultured bacterium. RNAcentral's name for it is "partial 16S ribosomal RNA". It matches the Rfam family "Bacterial small subunit ribosomal RNA", at positions 355 to 798 of the family's 1533-position model. The record is from RNAcentral.
CUAAGAAUAUUCCGCAAUGACGGAAGUCUGACGGAGCGACGCCGCGUGGAUGAAGAAGGCCGAAAGGUUGUAAAGUUCUUUUGCUGGGGAAGAAUAACCGCAGGAGGGAAUGCCUGUGGGAUGACAAGAACCGGCGAAUAAGCCCCGGCCAACUACGUGCCAGCAGCCGCGGUAACACGUAGGGGGCGAGCGUUGUUCGGAAUUACUGGGCGUAAAGGGCAUGUAGGCGGCUUGGAAGGCCUGGCGUGAAAGUCUGCAGCUUAACUGCAGGGGUGCGCUGGGAACUGCUGAGCUUGAGUGACGGAGAGGGAGCUGGAAUUCCUGGUGUAGGGGUGAAAUCUGUAGAUAUCAGGAAGAACACCGAUGGCGAAGGCAAGCUCCUGGCCGAUGACUGACGCUGAGGUGCGAAAAGUGUGGGGAUCAAAACAGGAUUAGAUACCCUGGUAGUCCAC